Molecule: ribosomal RNA, 591 nt
Filed under: Trichoderma hamatum
Lineage: Eukaryota; Fungi; Ascomycota; Sordariomycetes; Hypocreales; Hypocreaceae
Description: eukaryotic LSU rRNA
Rfam family: 5.8S ribosomal RNA (bases 219-372)
Source: RNAcentral
AAAAGGUCUCGUUGGUGACCAGCGGAGGGUCAUUACCGAGUUUACAACUCCCAAACCCAAUGUGAACGUUACCAAACUGUUGCCUCGGCGGGGUCACGCCCCGGGUGCGUAAAAGCCCCGGAACCAGGCGCCCGCCGGAGGAACCAACCAAACUCUUUCUGUAGUCCCCUCGCGGACGUAUUUCUUACAGCUCUGAGCAAAAAUUCAAAAUGAAUCAAAACUUUCAACAACGGAUCUCUUGGUUCUGGCAUCGAUGAAGAACGCAGCGAAAUGCGAUAAGUAAUGUGAAUUGCAGAAUUCAGUGAAUCAUCGAAUCUUUGAACGCACAUUGCGCCCGCCAGUAUUCUGGCGGGCAUGCCUGUCCGAGCGUCAUUUCAACCCUCGAACCCCUCCGGGGGAUCGGCGUUGGGGAUCGGGACCCCUCACCGGGUGCCGGCCCUGAAAUACAGUGGCGGUCUCGCCGCAGCCUCUCCUGCGCAGUAGUUUGCACAACUCGCACCGGGAGCGCGGCGCGUCCACGUCCGUAAAACACCCAACUUCUGAAAUGUUGACCUCGGAUCAGGUAGGAAUACCCGCUGAACUUAAGCUUAA